RNAcentral lists this ribosomal RNA (1126 nucleotides) under Escherichia coli. RNAcentral describes it as "partial 23S ribosomal RNA". It matches the Rfam family "Bacterial large subunit ribosomal RNA", at positions 165 to 1329 of the family's 2925-position model. Lineage: Bacteria; Pseudomonadati; Pseudomonadota; Gammaproteobacteria; Enterobacterales; Enterobacteriaceae. The record is from RNAcentral.
CAUAGGUUAAUGAGGCGAACCGGGGGAACUGAAACAUCUAAGUACCCCGAGGAAAAGAAAUCAACCGAGAUUCCCCCAGUAGCGGCGAGCGAACGGGGAGCAGCCCAGAGCCUGAAUCAGUGUGUGUGUUAGUGGAAGCGUCUGGAAAGGCGCGCGAUACAGGGUGACAGCCCCGUACACAAAAAUGCACAUACUGUGAGCUCGAUGAGUAGGGCGGGACACGUGGUAUCCUGUCUGAAUAUGGGGGGACCAUCCUCCAAGGCUAAAUACUCCUGACUGACCGAUAGUGAACCAGUACCGUGAGGGAAAGGCGAAAAGAACCCCGGCGAGGGGAGUGAAAAAGAACCUGAAACCGUGUACGUACAAGCAGUGGGAGCACGCUUAGGCGUGUGACUGCGUACCUUUUGUAUAAUGGGUCAGCGACUUAUAUUCUGUAGCAAGGUUAACCGAAUAGGGGAGCCGAAGGGAAACCGAGUCUUAACUGGGCGUUAAGUUGCAGGGUAUAGACCCGAAACCCGGUGAUCUAGCCAUGGGCAGGUUGAAGGUUGGGUAACACUAACUGGAGGACCGAACCGACUAAUGUUGAAAAAUUAGCGGAUGACUUGUGGCUGGGGGUGAAAGGCCAAUCAAACCGGGAGAUAGCUGGUUCUCCCCGAAAGCUAUUUAGGUAGCGCCUCGUGAAUUCAUCUCCGGGGGUAGAGCACUGUUUCGGCAAGGGGGUCAUCCCGACUUACCAACCCGAUGCAAACUGCGAAUACCGGAGAAUGUUAUCACGGGAGACACACGGCGGGUGCUAACGUCCGUCGUGAAGAGGGAAACAACCCAGACCGCCAGCUAAGGUCCCAAAGUCAUGGUUAAGUGGGAAACGAUGUGGGAAGGCCCAGACAGCCAGGAUGUUGGCUUAGAAGCAGCCAUCAUUUAAAGAAAGCGUAAUAGCUCACUGGUCGAGUCGGCCUGCGCGGAAGAUGUAACGGGGCUAAACCAUGCACCGAAGCUGCGGCAGCGACGCUGAUGCGUUGUUGGGUAGGGGAGCGUUCUGUAAGCCUGUGAAGGUGUGCUGUGAGGCAUGCUGGAGGUAUCAGAAGUGCGAAUGCUGACAUAAGUAACGAUAAAGCGGGUGAAAAGC